GAGCCCGCAACAAUCAUGAGACAUGAGAUUUGUUUAUGUCAAGGGAGAAGUUAAGAUAUUGUGCUUGUUUUAUGAAAAUGGAACAGGCGGAUGUUCGUGUGGGAAGUCAGCAGGUUGAUGACGACGGACAUUUUUGUUCUGUUCAACGUGGAGCUUUAAGUACUCUUUGCAAAAAAUGAAUUCCGUGACUUAACUUACCCUCGUUUUUCGGUUUCUGAUCCGAGGAAUUGACUCGGACGUGUGUUGUUCUGUUCACCUUCACAAAAAGGGAAGUCAAGUGACUGUGUUCCCAUCACCAGUCCUUCAUUUUGCGAGCAAUCACACAUCAUUAUUAUUAUUAUUCAGCCAAAAAACACCAACACAGGAGCUCUUCUUGCCGUGAUGUGGCCUUAUUUUUAUUUUUCGCAAUGCUUCUUCUCCUUGUUUUUUUUUUAUGGCAGUUGGCAAACUACCAGUUUCAAUGGACAGUGGACCCACGCAAUUGUAGUAUGAAAUGGACCACGUGGCCAACUGGUACGCGUCCGCAGCUGUUUGUGGACACGGAACACAGAUAUCGAACCCUUGACUAAGCCAACAGUGGUUUGCUGAAAGGGACCCAAACCGCAGAGUUGUAAUCACAUUACUUAACCAAUUCCUAAGUAACGUGUUACCGGCCAGCACUGGAAAAGAUGCACUGAACUGCAACGGGAGCUGAAUCAGAAAUACUAGAGUUCCAAGGCCUUCCUGGUUUGAAUAACUGCAUCACUUCGAUUACAUAGAAGAGAUGGAUUGUGCAGACUGGCCGAUGUCUCAUUUUUUAUUGGACAGCCUUGCAACGUGUUGUAUAUUAUUACUAAAGGUCCCACGCUGGCAUCGUGCAGUGAGAAUGUUGUAAUAUUGAACACAUUAUGGAGCAAAAAGAGAGAGAGAGAGAGAGAGAGAGAGAGAGAAAGAAUGCCUGUGGUGAAGCUUCAGAUAACUUUUCUUAAUUAUGCGGCCUUCUCUUCUGAUAAAACAGACAGAAAUAUGGUAGUAUAAUAACUUGAAUGAAUUCCUUCUCUUGUUUCCCUGAAAUAUAUAUAUAUAUAUAUGUAACUGUAACAUACUUAGGUUACUUCCAACUUUUUGACACUUAAAGUUUUAUGAAUGGAGGGAGAUUAUUAAAAGUUUUAUAUUUUAUCACUUUGACAUAAGCAACACACUCCAAAUGUCUUUUUUG
This is a long non-coding RNA of Gasterosteus aculeatus aculeatus (three-spined stickleback), 1198 nucleotides long. The record is from Ensembl. NCBI's taxonomy places the organism in Eukaryota, Metazoa, Chordata, Actinopteri, Perciformes, Gasterosteidae.